UACGUAGGUGGCAAGCGUUAUCCGGAUUUAUUGGGCGUAAAGGGAACGCAGGCGGUCUUUUAAGUCUGAUGUGAAAGCCUUCGGCUUAACCGGAGUAGUGCAUUGGAAACUGGGAGACUUGAGUGCAGAAGAGGAGGGUGGAACUCCAUGUGUAGCGGUGAAAUGCGUAGAUAUAUGGAAGAACACCAGUGGCGAAAGCGGCUCUCUGGUCUGUAACUGACACUGAGGCUCGAAAGCGUGGGGAGCAAACAGG
Molecule: ribosomal RNA, 253 nt
Filed under: uncultured bacterium
Lineage: Bacteria
Description: partial 16S ribosomal RNA
Rfam family: Bacterial small subunit ribosomal RNA
Source: RNAcentral